CUGAACACCGCCGCCGCCGCCGAUCCCAUCUUCCCCGGUGACAUACCUCGCUGGUGGCCUCCUCUCCCCCAUCCAUGCCGGCGACCUCCCUCUACCCCGCCCUCUCCGUCAACACGUCUCCCAGCAGCUCGGGCGAAACCCUAGCCCACCCGAUGCCACGUCGACCUAGCAGGCAGGCGGGAGGAGCCCUGCCCGACCAUGGCGACACCGCCGGCGGCCUCCUCCACCCCCUCACCUUCUCUCCCUCUCCCAAGGGAGGGAAGGGAAUGGAGGGAUCCGGCAGCAAGGGGAGGCAGCGCCCAGAUCCGCAGCCGCACUGGCGGCCCGCCGUCCCUCAAGGUCGUCCAUGGAGGUCCGAACGUGAUACAAGCUUGAGUUACGCCAUAAAGACUUACCUAUCUAUGUAUCUUAGUUACGAGAGCAUCAAGGUAUGAACGUGAUACACUACCACCUAUUUUUACUCGAAUGGACCAAAUCAUCAAUGUUAAAAUUCUGAUGUCCACCUAAAAGUAACUGUAUGUAGCAGUCAUACAGUAGCCCAGUGAAUAGAUGCCUAUGAAUGCAAGCUUCUAAAUUUCUGCUUGUGCAGCCAAUAAUGGUUAUUCGCUCAGAAUUGUCGAUUGCCGCUGACCACUUCUCAGAUUUCUAUUAACACGAGGACCAGAACAAGCAGGUUGAUGUGCAAAUAUAUAGUUUCUAUUGGAAGAGUUAGCUUCAGACAAUGUACGAUCUAUGCAAAAUCCAUCAUCUCAUGCUUGCAUAACAAGACGGAUGGUAAUUUGUUUACUACUCUACUUACUGCAGUUUACAAAUUCUUUUAUGGCUUCAGUUCCCAUGCCGCUACGCGUGCAGGUCUCUGCUUGCUCAGUCCUCUUGCCGCGACACCAUCACCAAGUCACUCAGAGCCCACCACCGCCACAAACACCCCAUGCCGUCACACGUGACAGUCGCAGCAUCACAACUUCACUUUAAAUCAUUAAAAUUUCAAAACACCAAUCAAUUCAUGUUCAAGUCGAGAACUAAUAAAUGUAGACGACCUUCACGUCGAAAAUUCUGUCUAAGUAAGCACGAUACAAAUUAUUUUGGCCUGGUAUACCACUAAAACAUUUUUGAAAUUAUUUGAAAAGUAUAAGAUAUUCAUUGUUAUUUCUCAAGUAAGAUAUCCCCCUUUGUUAGUACUGCCCUAUUCCUUUUCCUUUUUUCAGGAAAGUGGAAGGAGUGAUGAAGAACUAAAACAUAGUUACAGUGGGCGUUUUUUAUAGGAAAAAAACUGAAGAAUUUGAGAUUAAUAUAAUUUUAGGAUUAAUUCAGGUGUCCCUGGUUUUGUUAGCAUCAGAACAUGUUGACCUAAUUGUCCAUGGUUACACUCAUCUUCAAACAGCACAACUUGUUUUGCUGCACAUCUUCUCUUAACAUAUGAUGAACAACUAUUCUAUGUUUCAUCCCUCUCUUAUUUCACACUGCAUUAACAAUGUUUUCUCAGUAUGUGGAUUUCCCUAACUUUGCCUUAUUGAUUAUUCAUUUUGUUACUGAUGUGUACACAAACCCCGCCUAAUUAAUUUAGUCUACUAUAUCUAACCAUAUGAAAUCUCAAAGUUGAUUCAUACUACUUGCCUUAUGGUGUGGUACAUUACCUCUGGGGUUUUUUAACUACGAGAGCAGAACGACUACGCCGACGUGGAUGACUCAGAGGUCAACCUUGUAAAGGGCCGCAAGCAGUGGCGACUAUCUUUUCCACGAGAAGAUGACCAAGGGCGCCGUCGGCCACUUUGUCGUCGCCGUCGAAGAGUCCAAGUUCGUCCCCGCAUCGGUUGCAUUGGUGUCGAUCAGGUGCUAAUCUGAAUCCUUGUCCAAUUUCAUGUGGACUAUAAAAAAACCAGGGUUGAAUGCACAUUACCAUCACACUGCCAUUUAGUUUUUGUUGGUACGCAAUAAUAUUGCUACAGUUCUAUUUAUAGAUUUUUUGCCCAUUUUGUCUUUGUCUUUGUCCAUGGUCAGAUCAUGGUUUUUAGGCUUGAUUGUUAUGAGUCAGUAAGGUGAGAAUGAGCGGUAAUGGUUUAACUAAUCAUGCCAUCAUGUUUUUAGUAUCACUAAUUUAUCUAUGCUAAUUCUUUCAACAUUAUUGUCAUUGUUGACGAUUCUAAAAGGUAAAGAGAAAUGUUAAAGAAUGCACCUUCUGCUAUGGCAUGCGGCCCCACCGGCUCCGCGGAUGUCUACACGGUCUUCGUCCUUAACCACUGUCUAGCGCCACUGCCCUGCAGCUUCUGUGACCUCUGUUGGCCUCCUCAUGGCUCCUUCACCCUCCAGCUUCCCACGUGCUUCUCUGUUGCACAAGAACUUUCCUGCCCAGGUGGUUGCCGGUUUUCUGGAUUGGUUUUGGUACUAUUGAAGAAGUAGAACCAGUUCCACCCAAAUCGAUUGUUUAUUUGUGUAAUGCAAUCUCUAUUAUGCUCAGAGUCUGAUUGGCAUUUUCCAAAUCAAUGCACGGGGACCUUCGAUUUGAUUUAGUUUUAUCUUCUACUACAGAUAGGGAAAUAUGGACACUAGAUAUCCAUUUCUUAGGUGUCAAUCUGGUGCUUAGGCUGUAUAAUAGUAUAGGGCCGAGUUCUUCCAUCUACUAAUUUAGGUAAUCUGAUCUAUAGGUUAGGCACUUUGCUUUAAGCAUAGUUACCUAUUCGAUGGUGACCAACCCUCUCUCAGAAGCGUCGUACAAACAAUUCAGGCGCUUCCUUAAAAUUUAUUACUUUAGAGACAUGGGGAUCCUGAGGUUGACACACUUGAUUCUUGCUGCUGCUUAUGCAUCACUGGACUUUAGUUAAAUGUAUGAUUAUCUGGAUAUUCCCAAUACAUUAUCAAGUGUAGGGUUCAGAAAAUAAGGACAGCCAUUUGUUCCACCUUUUGUAGUUCAUCAAGAAUAUGAUGUUAAAAAAACGACAACUUGCCAAGUUACAGUUCUGAAAUAUUUCCUUUUGUAGCAUAUGUACCAGCAAGAUGGUGAACUAGAUUCAAAUUUGAUACUCCCCUUUUCCAUGAAAUAUUUCCUCUGCAUUUUUAUUUGUCAUUUAUUUAUGUAUGGAUGCUCGUGUUGCAAGGUUUAGCCACUGCUUCAACAUUGUAGGAAUUUCUUGUGGUCUCGAAUGCGAAUUUCUUGUGGUCUCGAAUGGAUGAACAUAGAGCGCUAGCUUCAUAAUGCCUCUGAGACGAUAUGUCGGAGAUGGUAUUGAUUUAUUUUUUAAGGUUAGCAAGUGACUUAUUUGGAGUAAUCUCAGGGAUAUGUCUUUGUUAUCAGUUGCAAGUUACUAUGCAGAUUGAUAAUGGUAAAAAUAUUGUUGGAUAAAUCUAAUUCCAUUGAAUUAACAGAUUUUUUCCGUUGUGGGCAUUCGAAUAUUUAGAGUAAUAUGCAUGCACAAUUGUCUUAAAUCUACACGUAACCAGUCAAUCACUACUUUGUACUAUAUGCUAUGAAAAUAUUAUGUGAGCAAACUUAAGUAGUAACCUUAUAUGGCUAUGCACUGAAAAUGGUCUUAGGUACAUCCAGUUUCAGUACAUUCACAUAUUGAGGCCACUGUAAAUGCUUCUACUAUUGCAGGUUCAACUUGAAUCUUCACUUCCGUAGGCAUGUAACUGAUUCGCUUCUUGAUGAGUUUUUAGCUCGCUGAUUCAAUCCAUAUAGCUUGUGAGCGGCCUGAUGACGCCGACCCCUUAUCGACGCGGCCAUAUUGUACGGGCGGGCAAGUCAACGUUAGGUGGCCGGAUCCCAAGAUGGAGGGCGGCCUCCUACCGGUCCACGACUUUCUUCUCGGUGGCGGCGCACACGAGGUCAUCCACAUCGGCUUCAACAAGACGCGAGCACCCACACGGAGGAGGACGGCUUGCUUGCUGAUGGCGUUGUCCACCCGGACGACGGUGUGCUGUUGACCACGCAAAGGGCCGCAUCCACCUGGACGACAGUGUGCUGGCGGAGUAUGGCGUCCGCCCGAACGAUGACAGAUAACAUGGCGAACGUUGACGGCCACCAGGUACUCCCCGGCGAUGCGGCAACAUCAUCAUGGACGACAGCAUGCUUAUGGCCAGUGACGUGCUUGUAGAAGGCGUUGUGAGAGAGGCAACCAGCAGGACGGUGACGACCACGUGCACGCACUCGAACACAACGGCAGCAAGCAGGACGAUGGUGACCAGGUGUGCAUGCAAGCAUCUCCUAGGAACUGGGGCUGAACGACGAGGCUAGCAUCUCAUACGAGCUCACGCUCAAGCACAAGAUUGCGUGGGCUGGGCGUCUCAUCUGGCCUUGCUGGUAUGUGUCCUUUUCUCCUCUCAUGAGAUCAUCAUGUGCCAAUUAUGCUGGAGUUGUAUACCUUGUAGGUAGAUAAUACACUGCAAGGCCUAGCCAAUAAGCAUUUCCUAUUUUGGCGAUGAAUGUUACAAUAGUAGGAUCUGCAUCUAGGCACCCUUAUAUGAACUGUAACUUACAGAGCAAGCAAAUCAUAUACAUUGUUUGUGGGCCCAAUCUCAUUCAUAUAUAUAACCAUUAUA
Molecule: long non-coding RNA, 4533 nt
Organism: Triticum aestivum (bread wheat)
Lineage: Eukaryota; Viridiplantae; Streptophyta; Magnoliopsida; Poales; Poaceae
Exons: 3
Source: RefSeq, a predicted model, not a curated record